Long non-coding RNA from Ostrea edulis (European flat oyster), 824 nucleotides. RefSeq lists it as uncharacterized. The transcript is spliced from 2 exons. The record is from RefSeq and is a predicted model, not a curated record. Lineage: Eukaryota; Metazoa; Mollusca; Bivalvia; Ostreida; Ostreidae.
ACUCUGGGUGACAUCUGAUGUUAGGAAAGCUAUAGUGGAAUAGACUAUCUUCAUGAUACAGACUUUCAUGGAAUUGAAUUUCUAGAUAUUUUCAGUUGUUGGUGCCAUAUUUGUCUCUUGAUACUGCGCACAGUCAUCCGCAAAGAUACCUAGAUUAUAGAUAUUUCUGAUACAUACUCGUGGAAGGUCACUCAUACAUGUGAAAGGUCGUUGAUAGGUGUGAAUUUACCAAAGUGAAGUGUACCAACAGCGCCCUGACUAUUCAACCAUCAUCAUCCUGUCGGCAGACCUUCUAAUACGUCAGUUUCGAGAUACGAACUCUUCUGUAUAGGAGGUGCAUUUAGUGGAACUUUGAAUGCCUAAGUGGGACAGAGUGGAUAUACAGCCAACGAGGAAGACGAUGAAAUGUAUUAAAAGCGGCUUCUCUUUAAAUAUGUAAAUGUGGGAAAUACUAAAUACUAUCGAAAGAAAUGUUUUACCGAAGUGGAAACAUACAAACAAUGUCAUAUUUGUAAGAAAUGUCUUGGAUAUGGUACUUAUGACCAGCGAAACAACGUGAUAGGAUAAUAAUUCUAUGUAAUUAAUUACUCUCUAAAUAUUUAUCUCUUACUUAGUUUGUAUAUCAUUCAAAUACGGGUUUUCAAACAGCGUAUGAGAAACUUUCUGAGUACAUUCACUUACGCUAUGAUGAAUAUCUGUCCCACUCCCGCGUGUAAACAAAUUCUUUCGCGCCUUACUAUGUACGAGAGUUCUCCAAAGGGAAAUAACUCGGACGUAUCUCGAAACCGGCGUAUUGUUGUACAUAUAAAGAACUCAAAACCUUC